Non-coding RNA from Armillaria fumosa, 96 nucleotides. NCBI's taxonomy places the organism in Eukaryota, Fungi, Basidiomycota, Agaricomycetes, Agaricales, Physalacriaceae. The record is from the annotation of a GenBank genome assembly.
GGGGGUAUAGCUCAGCUGGGAGAGCAACAGACUGAAGUGCCGUAGCUAGCUCGUAGGCUUUUCUGGAGGUCCCCAGUUCAAUCCUGGGUGUCCCCA